GACUCUCGGCAACGGAUAUCUCGGCUCUCGCAUCGAUGAAGAACGUAGCGAAAUUCGAUACCUGGUGUGAAUUGCAGAAUCCCGCGAACCAUCGAGUCUUUGAACGCAAGUUGCGCCCGAGGCCACUCGGCCGAGGGCACGCCUGCCUGGGCGUCA
Molecule: ribosomal RNA, 156 nt
Filed under: Triticum aestivum (bread wheat)
Lineage: Eukaryota; Viridiplantae; Streptophyta; Magnoliopsida; Poales; Poaceae
Description: rRNA 5_8S_rRNA
Rfam family: 5.8S ribosomal RNA
About the family: 5.8S ribosomal RNA (5.8S rRNA) is a component of the large subunit of the eukaryotic ribosome. It is transcribed by RNA polymerase I as part of the 45S precursor that also contains 18S and 28S rRNA.
Source: RNAcentral